UAACACAAAAAGUAUGUGAAAGUUUGUCCAAUUUUGUAAUUACUAACUGUUAUCUAUUCAUUUUCACAAGGGAGACACAAGGGAUGUCUUCAUGUGCUCAACUCUUCACACAGCACAUGCAGGUGACAGUCCAGAGGAGAGUCAAAGGUGCGGAUGGGCGCUGGGAAUUGAAAGAUGUUCCUGUUCCCCGAGCUGUCAAAGACUACAACCGGUGCAAACGUGGGGUCUAGCUCCACAGCCAGAACCAUACAAACUCCUCCUCCAAGUGGAACACACCAUAGGCCAGUGCACAUCAGCGGGGACUGCACCAUUGGUUGGCGAAAGUGCAAGUAUUGUCAUAAAAAGACCCCAUUGAAAUGUGCCUCAUAUGAUGUGCCCUUGUGCUUUAUUCCCAAGAGAGACUGUUAUAAUGACUGGCAUGUUGGAAAUAACUUGUAGGAUGUCAGUCAUAAAGAUAGUGUGUAAAUAAUGUAAAUAUGUGUGUUUUCUAAAGUUUGCUGUGUUGCACUUUUUCUAUAAAUAGUUUUCCACCAUAA
Molecule: long non-coding RNA, 536 nt
Organism: Labrus mixtus (cuckoo wrasse)
Lineage: Eukaryota; Metazoa; Chordata; Actinopteri; Labriformes; Labridae
Exons: 2
Source: RefSeq, a predicted model, not a curated record